Molecule: long non-coding RNA, 999 nt
Filed under: Citrus x clementina
Lineage: Eukaryota; Viridiplantae; Streptophyta; Magnoliopsida; Sapindales; Rutaceae
Description: Citrus clementina (C. clementina) long non-coding RNA (CCLE_LNC005000)
Source: RNAcentral
AGGCCCCUCGCAAAGUCUCGCCCAAUUCCGAGUCCGGCGGACGAACUUCGCCCGCGCCCCCCACCAAGGCUAUAGCCCACCCGUUUUUUGGCCAUUUUUCCGCUGGGGGGUUUUGGCACCACGACCUUCGGGCACUUAUUUUUGGGCGUGGCUUUGCCCGCGGCUUAUUUUUGGUGCCCCGAGGCCCCUCGCAAAGUCUCGCUCCAUUCCGAGUCCGGCGGACGAACUUCGCCCGCGCCCCCCACCAAGGCUAUAGCCCACCCAUUUUUUGGCCAUUUUUCCGCUGGGGGGUUUUGGCACCACGACCUUCGGGCUCUUAUUUUUGGGCGCGGCUUUGCCCGCGGCUUAUUUUUGGCGCCACGAGGCCCCUCGCAAAGUCUCGCCCCAUUCCGAGUCUGGCGGACGAACUUCGCCCGCGCCCCCCACCAAGGCUGUAGCCCACCCAUUUUUUGGCCAUUUUUCCGCUGGGAGGUUUUGGCACCACGACCUUUGGGCGCUUAUUUUUGGGCGCGGCUGUGCCCGCGACUUCCCACGGGCACCCCGAGGCCCCGCGCAAAGUCUCGCCCCAUUCCGAGUCCGGCGGACGAACUUCGCCCGCGCCCCCCACCAAGGCUAUAGCCUACCCGUUUUUUGGCCAUUUUUCCGCUGGGGGGUUUUGGCACCACGACCUUCGGGCGCUUAUUUUUUGGCGCGGCUUUGCCCGUGGCUUAUUUUUGGUGCCCCGAGGCCCCUCGCAAAGUCUCGCCCCAUUCCGAGUCCGGCGGACGAACUUCGCCCGCGCCCCCCACCAAGGCUAUAGCCCACCCAUUUUUUGGCCAUUUUUCCGCUGGGGGGUUUUGGCACCACGACCUUCGGGCUCUUAUUUUUGGGCGCGGCUUUGCCCGCGGCUUAUUUUUGGCGCCACGAGGCCCCUCGCAAAGUCUCGCCCCAUUCCGAGUCUGGCGGACGAACUUCGCCCGCGCCCCCCACCAAGGCUAUAGCCCACCCAUUUUUUGGCCA